This 253-nucleotide ribosomal RNA is filed under the name uncultured bacterium. Its description in RNAcentral is "partial 16S ribosomal RNA". It matches the Rfam family "Bacterial small subunit ribosomal RNA", at positions 524 to 776 of the family's 1533-position model. The record is from RNAcentral.
UACGGAGGGGGCUAGCGUUGUUCGGAAUUACUGGGCGUAAAGCGCGCGUAGGCGGACCUGCAAGUCGGGGGUGAAAGCCCGAGGCUCAACCUCGGAACUGCCUUCGAUACUGCGGGUCUCGAGUCCGGGAGAGGUGAGUGGAAUUCCUAGUGUAGAGGUGAAAUUCGUAGAUAUUCGCAAGAACACCAGUGGCGAAGGCGGCCGACUGGUCCGGUUCUGACGCUGAGGCGCGAAAGCGUGGGGAGCAAACAGG